RNAcentral lists this microRNA precursor (53 nucleotides) under Ciona intestinalis (vase tunicate). Its description in RNAcentral is "microRNA cin-mir-4102 precursor". The record is from miRBase by way of RNAcentral. Lineage: Eukaryota; Metazoa; Chordata; Ascidiacea; Phlebobranchia; Cionidae.
CGCAAUACACAUGGUGUCAUAUUCAUUAAGUCUGACGCCAUCGCGUAUUGGUU